GAUUACAUCAGCAGGUUGACCUCUAUCAUGCAUCUCAUCAUGAAGCUCCCAAGCAUGAUAGAUUCUCCCUAAUUUGCACAAACCGUCAAUAAGAGUAUUGUAAGUUAGUGUAUUAAGAAUAAUCUUCUUGCUUUGCAUUUCUUUGAAGAGAUUCAUGGCUUCAUCAAUCAUUUCAAUCUUACAGAGCCCAUUAAUAAGAGAAUUGUAAGUUACCGUACUAGGAAUAACCUUCUUGCUUUGCAUUUCUUUGAAGAAAUUUAUGGCUUCAUCCAUCAUUCCAAUCUUACACAGCCCAUUAAUCAUGACAUUAUAGCUAAGAACGUCGGGCAUCACUCUUCUUUGGGCCAUAGUGUUGAAUAUAACUUUGGCCUUGUUCACUUGAUUAACUACACAAUACCCAUCCAUUAAAGCAUUAUAAGUAACAACAUCUGGUUUUACACCUUCUGCUAUCAUCAUAGCCAACACAUUGAACGCUUGUUUCACCUUUCCUUCCUUGCAAUAUGCACUAACCAAUAUAUUAAAAGUAUAAUCAUUUGGUUUGUUGUUUCUCAAUAUCAUUUCCUGAAACAAACCAUUUGCUUCUUUCAAUCGACCAUCAAUACAAAAUCCAUACAAUAGAGAAUUGAAAGUGACAACAUUAGGAGAAAUUUUCUUUUCGGUCAUUUCAAAAUAUAAAUCAUAAGCAUUGAUUAAAAGUUUAUCUUUACACAAACUACCAAUAAUAGAGUACCAACUUUGAGCUGAAAAACAAGAAAGACAAGUGCUAUACCCAAGCUAAGUUGCACCCCUCCCAGCUAAUAAUAGGCAACAAUGCAGCUUCCACCGCAAAUUUGAUAGCAAUACUGGAACUCCCCUNNNNNNNNNNNNNNNNNNNNNNNNNGGGCAAUCCAGUCCUGAAAAUAGUACACAAAAGUAUAUCAAACAUAGCCUAAUUUUAGAUAUACACACCUCAAUCCAGAAUCUGACCAAACCGAGACCAAAUUCAUAUGUCCACAAUUCCAAGGCAAGCUCUUGUAUUCCAAAACCAUUGAUUGAUACCAUAGUCUAUGAAGUUUGCUUUAAACCUUAAUCUUAUAUUCAGCAUCCCCUUUUCGGCCUCUUUUAAUGUGUCUGAGCUGUCUUCUUUAGUGCAUGUUUGGAUUCAUAGCGAGUCACAUUGAUUUUGCAAAAACUAUAUUUUGGAGUUUCAACAAAAUCAUGGUGCCACCGUGAAUUUGUUAAAGUCACUGUCCAUCCAAACAUACAUUAAGUCUCUUUUGAAGCAGGUCCAAUCUCUUCGAUUAUCUUCCAGCUACAUAUUAUGACUCCAUUAGUUCACAACAACCUUGUCCUUAAGGUUGUGAUCAGGAAAAGCCUAAAAAAAUCUGCUAUAGCUACUAUAUCCAUUAUGAAUAACAUAAAACCAGAACGUAACAACUAAAGAAAACAUAUAAAGCAAAGUAUGAUUGUAAUUAUUCUACAAUGAAAUGAGAUUUUGAAUAGUGGUGCCACAUUAUUUUUGUGUAAACGUCCGACUUAAAAUUAUUAUUUGUCGUAAUUGUUUAAAUAACUAAUAAUCAAUAGAACAUACCUUUUGCAUUUCUGAGUAACAAAUCACUAGGAAGCAAAUUGCUCAACAUGAAUGGCAGUUGAUGUACAUCCCAAAUUUACACAUGCGUCCUCAAAUUGCUUUAAGAAUUAAAGCAGCAAAAAGGUAAUUAAUUAUUGAAGUAGCCAGAGAGAAGAACUUAGAUGGCAAAUUUCCACAAUACAAAUAUGAAGAAUCACAACGGAACCAUAUUUUAUCGCUGUCUUCAACUAUGAUACCAGUGGAUUUUUCCCCAUGACAGCGACACACCAAUUUGUACCUAACUCAAGAACAACAAUCUGUAUAAGUCUAAAACAGGACAAUAUAUCGAACGACAAGAUUACUUCCAAUACACUUUUUUAAAUGGAUUAUAACGGGCACUCUAGCCCAAUUACAAACCGAGAUCAAAGACAAAGCAAACAACUUAAACUAUAACAUGAGGAGUACAAAAAUGUCCUAGCCACGAAUAGCGGAGAUUGCUUCCAAUACAUGUUACAAGACAAAAUUUCAAAUGCUCGAACAUGAACCAGCUGAAAACAUAAUAUGAAACCAAAUAGUCCAUAUGCUUUACUAGAAUCUAACAACUAAAAAGGGAAUAGGAAUAUGAAAAUAUAUGUGACAACAAGAGGAGACCUUAAGCAUAGUCAGCAACCCUUUUUGGGACUCUUCUAAUGUGUCUGAACUGUCUUUCUUUGGUCUCUUUUGAAGCAGGCUUAAUCUCUUUGAGUAUUUCCUAGUUACGGAUCAUGACUACAUCCGUCCACAACAACAUUGUCCUUAAGGUUAGGACUGUUGAAAGAAAAACAUAGAAGUUGAAUCGAACUGCAAAACUGAAUCAAACUGCACUGCAAAUAACCGAAUUGUUUUUUUGAGUUUACGAAACAGAACUGGUGUUUCAAAAUAGUUCAGUUUCAUUAAAAAAAAAAUAAGUUUCCAGAAGUGAAAAAGAAUUAAGUUUCAUUAAAAAAUUCAGUGGGAAAUAGGAAGUGAAAGAAAUACCUGCAACUAGUACUGCAAGUGAGAGGUAGAAUGGCAGGAAGUGAAAAAGAAUUAAUUAGUAACAAAUGCUAGUUUCCAGAAGGUAGGAUAGGAAUGACUCGGGUUAAAAAGUUUACGAAUAGUUUGGUUCAAUUCAGCAUAAUAUAAAGCAAUUUAAUUCAUAAACUUUAGAAACAGUUCGGUUCAAAACAUUAGAACCCACUGAAUUGAACUCAAACAGUUCGGUUCAAAAUGAAACACAAACAAUUCAUUCGGUUUUACCAACAAUUUUCCAGCAAUCAUCUCGGCAGCUUGAUCAUGGAAUCCCACUGUUUAAAGUGUGAGCUUUGAUACGUGAAAAAUAGUAAUCGCCACUAAGAAUCUGUGACUCGAGUAACAUUCAUUAAUAUAGAAACUGCAGCAUGGUAAUGACUAAUGAGAAUACUCUUUCAAUAAUUGAUAACCAAGGAUCACGGUAAAUAUAAAUCAUGGCAGCAACAUAAGGUUCUUGGGAUACAUACAAGUUCUCCACAUCUCUAAAAUAUGGACCAAAAUUCCAUGAAUUAAGUUAAUCUAAUAUAGUACUCCCUCUAGUCCUAUAUAUAAGAAAAUGUUGACUUUUUAGAUACAUUGUAAAAUUGAUGUAUCUAGACUAUAAUAUUGUCUAGAUACGUUGAUUUUACAAUGAAUCUAAUAAGCAAACAUUUUCUUAUAUAUAGGACCGGAGGGAGUAAUAUUUAUAGGGAAAAAUUCCAAAAUUCCAUGAAAAAAUAAAUUAUUAUUAUAGGAUAAAAAACAUAAUUCCAUCAAAAGUAACAACAUUUAUUGAUAUUUUUAGUAUGUGUAAAAAACCACAAAAAGAUCGAAGCGAGUAAUAACUUGUACCUGACUCAAUAACAACAAUUUGUAUCAGUCUGAAACAAGACAAUGAAUCACAUAGCAAGAUUACUCCCAAUACAUAUUUUUUAAACAACUAAGAGAGAUAUUUCAUAAAGAAUAGACUAAAGGGUACUCUAAUCCAAAGGACAAACCAAAAAGAAUUAAACUAUCUAGUCAACUGAUCUUAAAAAACACUUUCUAAACACAACCCCUGUGCAUCAUUUAAGCCCUCUUUUAUCUAGCCAUUUACAUUCUAUCGAACCAUUUACAGCCUAAAUAAACUAUGUGAAACUGUUUAAAUACAACCUUUUUUGUUGUUGAUAAAUAGCCUAUUUUAUUGAAUUCAACUAGGUACACCAAAUUCAACAGACUACAAAAUUUGUCAAGACACCAAGAAGUAUUAUAGCGAACAACAUCUUUCCAUCCAAUACCAAUAGCAGCAACACGCCAGAUCAAAAACAAGACACUCCCUACUUUGAACCCAAUACCAAAAUCUCAGUGAAGAAUUAUGACAGCAGACCAGUGGCCAAUAUCUUAACCCUUCUUUAGUUUCUAGACAGCUAGAUUGUCCAUAUUACAAAAAUUCAUAAAAUCUGUUUUGCAUCAAGGCAUUCCAAAAGCUGAUAAGUUACAAUAAAUAUCUAACCAAAAUACCAAAUAAUAAACAUUAGACCAUUAUCAUCAAAAUUCAAAGUAGCCUAACUAGUACUUCCCUUACAACAGACCUUUAGCAAUCAUUUCACGGAGAAGUUUCUUUGCUUUAUCAUUCUCAUCAUUUUCAAAGAGAGCACGGAUAAUUGUUUCAUAAGUUACAGCAUCAAGAAUGCAACCAUUGUCUUUCAUUUUCGACACCACGGCCAUAGCUUCAUCAAACAAUCCCUCUAAACAAAGACCAUUGAUCAUAAUAUUAUAUGUCCAGACUGUUACCUUAUAGCCUUUAAUCAAAAGAUCUUGAAAAAUCACUUGUGCGUCCUUAAGUCUUCCUUCUUUGCAUAGUCCAUCAAUAAGUAUAUUGUAUGUGUGCAUAUUUGGUUGAAUGCCUUGGUCUUUAAUUUUCUUGACUAAUGUAAUUGCCUGGUCGACAUGAUGGUUUUUACAUAAAGCGUGCAAUAAAGAAUUGUAAGUGAUUAUAUUGGCAGGUUGACCUCUAUCGUGCAUCUCUUCAAGAAGCUCCCAAGCAUGAGAGAUUCUCCCUGAUUUGCACAAACCAUCAAUAAGAGAAUUGUAACCUACUGUAUCAGGUGUAAUCUUCUUGCUUUGCAUUUCUUCAAAGAAAUUCAUGGCUUCGUCCACCAUUCUGAUCUUGCAUAAUCCAUUAAUUAUGAUAUUGUAGCUCCAAACAUUAGGAGUCACUUCCUUAUCAGCCAUAGUGUUGAAUAUAUCUAAGGCUUUGUUCACUUGAUUAACUAAGCAAUACCCAUCCAUUAAAGCAUUAUAAGUAAAAACAUUUGGUUUUAUACCUUCUUUCAUCAUCAUAGCCAACACAUUGAUAGCUUGUUCCACAUUUCCUUCCUUGCAAAAUGCAUCAACCAAUAUACUAAAAGUAUAUACAUCUGGGGUGAUGUUUUUUAAUACCAUUUCAUCAAAUAAAGAAAAUGCUUCUUUCAAUUGACCAACAAUACAAAAUCCGUAGAUUAGAGCAUUGAAAGUGAAAACAUUAGGAGAAAUUCCCUUUGCGGUCAUUUCAGAAUAUAACUCGUAAGCCUCGGUUACAAGUUUAUCUUUACAUAAACUUUCAAUGACUGUGUUAUACAUUAUCACAUCAGUGUUGACCAAUUUCCCUUCAAUUUUUCUCAACAUUUGCAGGGCGGCUCUAGUUUCCCCCAUUUUACACAAGCCAUUAAUCAAAGUCCCAUAACUAACAUGAUCCAAUUGAAAUCCUUUUGCCAGCACAUGGUCAUGAAAAUGCAGUGCUUUUUUAACAUCGCCACUAAGACAUAGACCUUUCAUGAGAGUAGUUAAGGUUAUGGUAUCUGGUUGAUAACCCAACUUGAGAAUCUUUGCCAAUACAGAAAAGGAAAAAGUAAUUUGACCAUUUAGGUGACAAUAACAAUUGAUCAAUAUAGUCAAAGUAAAUAAGUCAGGGGUAAUCCCCUUGAAUUCCAUUUGACGGUAAAGGGAUAUGGCAGUGGUGUAAUGCUUACUCUUGACAAGAGAACUUAAAAUCUUGGUAAAUUGAUAGAUGGAUGGAGUAUGGGGCAUUUGGAGCAUACGAUGAAAUGAGGAAACAGCAUUAUCAACAUGAACAUCAUUGUGAAUGAAUCGAUUGACAGAAUAAGAAUAUG
RNAcentral lists this long non-coding RNA (5709 nucleotides) under Trifolium pratense (red clover). RNAcentral's name for it is "long non-coding RNA (TPRA_LNC000648)". Lineage: Eukaryota; Viridiplantae; Streptophyta; Magnoliopsida; Fabales; Fabaceae. The record is from RNAcentral.